GAUUACGGGGCACCUCGGCUACUUGACCGUGAAAACCGUGAGAGUAAGUAUCUUCGGAAUAUGAUUAGAGCGGCGGACGGGUGAGUAACGCGUAGGAAUCUACCUAGUAUAAGGGGAUAGCCCGAGGAAACUCGGAUUAAUACCGUAUACCUCCUUCGGGAGAAAGAAGGCCUCUCUUUGAAGCUUUCGCUACUAGAUGAGCCUGCGUAAGAUUAGCUUGUUGGUGAGGUAAAGGCUCACCAAGGCGACGAUCUUUAGCGGGUCUGAGAGGACGAUCCGCCACAUUGGGACUGAGACACGGCCCAGACUCCUACGGGAGGCAGCAGUGGGGAAUAUUGGACAAUGGGCGCAAGCCUGAUCCAGCCAUACCGCGUGUGUGAAGAAGGCCUUAGGGUUGUAAAGCACU
RNAcentral lists this ribosomal RNA (406 nucleotides) under uncultured Gammaproteobacteria bacterium. RNAcentral's name for it is "bacterial SSU rRNA". It matches the Rfam family "Bacterial small subunit ribosomal RNA", at positions 28 to 434 of the family's 1533-position model. The record is from RNAcentral. Lineage: Bacteria; Pseudomonadati; Pseudomonadota; Gammaproteobacteria.